This 63-nucleotide microRNA precursor is filed under the name Podarcis lilfordi (Lilford's wall lizard). The record is from RNAcentral. Lineage: Eukaryota; Metazoa; Chordata; Lepidosauria; Squamata; Lacertidae.
UGCAUGUGUGUGUGUGUGUGUGCAUGCGCGCGCGCACACACACACACACACACACACCCUGUA